AUUGAACGCUGGCGGCAGGCCUAACACAUGCAAGUCGAACGAGUGGCGGACGGGUGAGUAAUGUCUGGGAAACUGCCUGAUGGAGGGGGAUAACUACUGGAAAAGGUAGAUAAUACCGCAUACCAUGAGAUGUGCCGAGAGGGGUUUAGCUAGUUGGUGGGGUAACGGCUCACCAAGGCGACGAUCCCUAGCUGGUCUGAGAGGAUGACCGGCCACACUGGAACUGAGACACGGUCCAGACUCCUACGGGAGGCAGCAGUGGGGAAUAUUGCACAAUGGGCGCAAGCCUGAUGCAGCCAUGCCGCGUGUAUGAAGAAGGCCUUCGGGUUGUAAAGUACUGUCAGCGGGGAGGCGUUACCCGCAGAAGAAGCACCGGCUAACUCCGUGCCAGCAGCCGCGGUAAUAC
RNAcentral lists this ribosomal RNA (406 nucleotides) under uncultured bacterium. Its description in RNAcentral is "partial 16S ribosomal RNA". It matches the Rfam family "Bacterial small subunit ribosomal RNA", at positions 30 to 526 of the family's 1533-position model. The record is from RNAcentral.